UACGAAGGGGGCUAGCGUUGCUCGGAAUUACUGGGCGUAAAGCGCACGUAGGCGGAUCGUUAAGUCGGGGGUGAAAUCCUGGAGCUCAACUCCAGAACUGCCUUCGAUACUGGCGAUCUUGAGUCCGGAAGAGGUGAGUGGAACUCCUAGUGUAGAGGUGGAAUUCGUAGAUAUUAGGAAGAACACCAGUGGCGAAGGCGGCUCACUGGUCCGGUACUGACGCUGAGGUGCGAAAGCGUGGGGAGCAAACAGGG
RNAcentral lists this ribosomal RNA (254 nucleotides) under uncultured bacterium. RNAcentral's name for it is "partial 16S ribosomal RNA". It matches the Rfam family "Bacterial small subunit ribosomal RNA", at positions 524 to 777 of the family's 1533-position model. The record is from RNAcentral.